Molecule: ribosomal RNA, 253 nt
Filed under: uncultured bacterium
Lineage: Bacteria
Description: partial 16S ribosomal RNA
Rfam family: Bacterial small subunit ribosomal RNA
Source: RNAcentral
UACGAAGGGGGCUAGCGUUGCUCGGAAUCACUGGGCGUAAAGCGCACGUAGGCGGCUUGUUAAGUCAGGGGUGAAAUCCUGGAGCUCAACUCCAGAACUGCCUUUGAUACUGGCGAUCUUGAGUCCGGGAGAGGUGAGUGGAACUGCGAGUGUAGAGGUGAAAUUCGUAGAUAUUCGCAAGAACACCAGCGGCGAAGGCGGCUCACUGGCCCGGUACUGACGCUGAGGUGCGAAAGCGUGGGGAGCAAACAGG